GAACAAAGUCGCCAUUACAGAGUGGGAUAUCUCUAACUGAGCAAUGAUCGCUUAGGGGACUAUAAGAGGCAAAGUGAAAGGAGACUGAAUUUGCUGGUGUUAGAGGAUAACUCUGCUCAGCUGACCAGUGAUGUACAUACAUACAGAUCACUGUCAUCACCAAGUGAGCAGCUCCCCUGUGGUUCAUGACAAACUCAGUCCAUAUCAUGGCUCAGUCCAGAGGCUUCGUGGGCCGGUCUCUGUGCAGUUUGGAGAGCUCCUGCACAUGCUCCCUGUGGGAUGGCUCAUGAAGCACCGCCUUCACCACCUCCUCAUUGAAGUUGUCUUUGUUCAACGUGCAAAUGUCCAGCACUCUGGCAACACCCCUAGCACUCAGCCUGCACAAGUUAUCAUCCUGGUCAUACAUCAGAGCCCGGCAAACGAUGGGAUCAGAGGUAGAUCCGUGGUAGAUGGCCUCUUGAAGUCCUUUGGUGCCUCCGCAGGCCAGAAAUGCUUUUGGUGUCCUGAGAGGUCACUUUAGGGCAGCCAUUCCAGUGGUAAGGUGCUGCUGCCCAGGGUGGAUGGUAACUUCCCACUGUGCCUCCAGAUGAACAAAGAAGGAAAGAAGAUUUUUCUGUUUA
Long non-coding RNA from Toxotes jaculatrix (banded archerfish), 620 nucleotides. RefSeq lists it as uncharacterized. NCBI's taxonomy places the organism in Eukaryota, Metazoa, Chordata, Actinopteri, Toxotidae. The transcript is spliced from 3 exons. The record is from RefSeq and is a predicted model, not a curated record.